Molecule: ribosomal RNA, 440 nt
Filed under: uncultured Porphyromonadaceae bacterium
Lineage: Bacteria; Pseudomonadati; Bacteroidota; Bacteroidia; Bacteroidales; Porphyromonadaceae
Description: bacterial SSU rRNA
Rfam family: Bacterial small subunit ribosomal RNA
Source: RNAcentral
UGAGGAAUAUUGGUCAAUGGGGCGAGAGCCUGAACCAGCCAAGUCGCGUGAGGGAAGAAGGUCCUACGGAUUGUAAACCUCUUUUGCCGGGGAGCAAAGGGGCCAUUGAUGGCAGGAUGAGCGUACCCGAGAAAAAGCAUCGGCUAACUCCGUGCCAGCAGCCGCGGUAAUACGGAGGAUGCGAGCGUUAUCCGGAUUUAUUGGGUUUAAAGGGUGCGCAGGCGGCGCGCCAAGUCAGCGGUCAAAGUUCCGGGCUCAACCCGGUGUCGCCGUUGAAACUGGCGUGCUCGAGUGCGUGCGAGGAAGGCGGAAUGCGUUGUGUAGCGGUGAAAUGCAUAGAUAUGACGCAGAACUCCGAUUGCGAAGGCAGCUUUCCAGCGCGCUACUGACGCUGAGGCACGAAAGCGUGGGGAUCGAACAGGAUUAGAUACCCUGGUAGU